This 70-nucleotide transfer RNA is filed under the name Marmota monax (woodchuck). RNAcentral's name for it is "tRNA.Undet". The record is from RNAcentral. Lineage: Eukaryota; Metazoa; Chordata; Mammalia; Rodentia; Sciuridae.
GGUUGUAGCUCAGUGGUAGAGUGCUUGCCUAAGCAUAUACAAGACCCUGGGUUCAAUCACAGCACUACCA